This is a long non-coding RNA of Fukomys damarensis (Damara mole-rat), 1601 nucleotides long. RefSeq lists it as uncharacterized. The record is from RefSeq and is a predicted model, not a curated record. The transcript is spliced from 6 exons. Lineage: Eukaryota; Metazoa; Chordata; Mammalia; Rodentia; Bathyergidae.
UUAAACUCACUCAUUACUGAAAGAAAAUGUUGCUCGUUCAUUUACAGCAAGAGGAAAUAUUGACUAGGAAUAGUGAAGAAGCCCUUGAAAUUCUGAUGAUCCUUUAAUGAGGAGGAAUGCAUCACAUGCUCACAUUGGGAAAAGAUUUGAAUUUCUUACCAGUCUGACACGGAAGAAAGAUAACACAAACUCACUAAGUCACUAUCGCAGAGAUAUCUGCUGACAGCAAACAGGUUAAUUAAGGGCUGUUGCCAAGUUGGUGAUGUUGGUUCCAGGUUGACAUGGACUGGAAAAUUGACAUGCCCAGGUGUAGCUCAGAUAUGACAGCAACAUGGUAAAGCUUUCCCCAGGUUUGAAAGCCACCCUAGAGAUUCGCCUACUAUCAUCUAUAAUGGGUCGCACAGCUGAAGAUAAUAAAAAUAAACUUUGAUCAACCGCAUGACAGGAAAGAAAUGACACGUGGUUGCUUGGAUCUGGAAAGUCUCCCAAAGGCUGGGUCCCAGGUCCCCUGAAGAAGUCGUAGCUGAAUGUGUUGUCAGGAGGUGAGGCCCCCUGGGGGAAGUGGGAGUGACUUUGAACGGUAUAAUGUGUGCCCAACCCUCUCCUCCUCCUCAUUUUUCUUCUGCUGCUUUCUCUCCCCACACCCUUUCUCGGCUGCUAUGAGGUGGGCAGCUUCGUUGUGCCUCCUGUUCCCAUCACAAACCACAGAGCCAGCAGACCAAGGACCUCUGAAAAUAGGAGCCAAAGGAAUCUUUUCUCCUUAGGCAUCCUCAAAUUGUAUAAAUUUCGGGUCCCACGAACCUGGAGCUGCCCUGAAUCUCCAUGACCCUGAAGAGACAAUAGAUUUUACUGGGUGAGAAACUGACAUUGAAGACAGCUUCCUCGGGGCAUGAGGCUUGAAGCUCACUUAAUCUCAGCAACACAACUGACGGGCACUGUUGUCCCUGUUCUGCACAUAAGGAAAAAGAAAUCUAGAGGCAUGAAGAGAGCUCGCAGGAGGUCUGGUAGCCAGUGAGCAGCAGAGCGGACUGAGCUGACACCUGCGCAACACCCAAGCCCGGGGUGCUGGGAGCUUUACGGUGCCCCUUGUGCCCUUGGACUGUGGUUUCUCACAGACGAAAGAGCAGAAGAACAGGACAACAGGACCAGCCUGCGGUCAGCCCGGAAGGCAGGUGUCAGGGUCAGGCCUCUGCUGCCACCCGUGAGACAUUCAUGCCCUCCCACCCCUGCCAGUUGAUCUGCUUUACACUUCCUGAGCCUCUGAGAGGUGGACAGCAAGCAGGCCACUCCCAGAGUCUGAAAAGUCCACCUUGGGAAGCAGAGAGCUUAGCGCCUUCAUCUUUCAAAGGGGCAAAUGAGUGUGCGUCUGUGCGUAGGUGUGGAGAGAUGAGAUUUGAGCCCUUUCCAGGAAAGCCACCCCUUCAUCCAGCCUGCUCAGAGGCGUGCUCUGGAUAACUCCCUACAAACCAGGAGAGGGCCCUCGUCAGAACCUCGCCAUGCUGUUACCCUGAUCUUGGACCUCCAGCCUCCAGAACCGAGAAAUUCAGCUUUCAGGCUCAGGGGAGGCAAAGACUACCAGGACCCCAGCCCUGGCCAGCAAG